This 468-nucleotide ribosomal RNA is filed under the name uncultured bacterium. Its description in RNAcentral is "bacterial SSU rRNA". It matches the Rfam family "Bacterial small subunit ribosomal RNA", at positions 28 to 493 of the family's 1533-position model. The record is from RNAcentral.
GAUGAACGCUGGCGGCGUGCUUAACACAUGCAAGUCGAACGAAGCACUCUAUUUGAUUUUCUUCGGAAAUGAAGAUUUUGUGACUGAGUGGCGGACGGGUGAGUAACGCGUGGGUAACCUGCCUCAUACAGGGGGAUAACAGUUGGAAACGACUGCUAAUACCGCAUAAGCGCACAGGAUCGCAUGAUCCGGUGUGAAAAACUCCGGUGGUAUGAGAUGGACCCGCGUCUGAUUAGCCAGUUGGCAGGGUAACGGCCUACCAAAGCGACGAUCAGUAGCCGACCUGAGAGGGUGACCGGCCACAUUGGGACUGAGACACGGCCCAAACUCCUACGGGAGGCAGCAGUGGGGAAUAUUGCACAAUGGGGGAAACCCUGAUGCAGCGACGCCGCGUGAGCGAAGAAGUAUUUCGGUAUGUAAAGCUCUAUCAGCAGGGAAGAAGAAUGACGGUACCUGACUAAGAAGCAC